This 253-nucleotide long non-coding RNA is filed under the name Lathyrus oleraceus (garden pea). RNAcentral's name for it is "Pisum sativum (pea) long non-coding RNA (PSAT_LNC008500)". The record is from RNAcentral. Lineage: Eukaryota; Viridiplantae; Streptophyta; Magnoliopsida; Fabales; Fabaceae.
GAAGGUCCGCAGGAGUAUAAUGCAUUCCGUAUGGAAAACUCACUGGGGAAACAGAGACUCUUGGGGAAAAAGGAUUUAUGCGCAUGCCAAGCUACGACUCAAAACUACUGGGGGACUCGAGGGAUUCCAUGCAAACAUGGAAAAGACUCAAUCGGGGAGCUAACAACAUCUGCAGGGGAUACAAGUAAGUCAGGAUAAAACUGAGGUACUCGACUCAUGCAGGGGAAAAGCAAUUUCACUAAGGAAAUGCACA